AAACAUAUGCGCCGAAUUGGUCACCGCCGUCCGAGCUUUUCAUGACUUGCCUCUCCCCUCCGCACUUGUUUUCGGUUUAUUGAGACUGAUCUCGCACGAUAAAGAAGCACCGGCGUGCUACAGGCUCUGUGACCAGUCCCCAAAGCGUAGCACAGUUUCCCAACAACGGUUUCCAGACAUCUGACCUGCCGCACGUAAAUACAGCCGAAGAGAGAGCUGCCUUGCUCCGAUUCGUGCCCACCCCCACGUUCCCUUGCACCAGAUUCUCUAUUAGGGACAAAGGUAGAGUCAACCGCAUGAAUUUGUCCGUGAGAUUGUGAGCAGGUAGCUCCAGCUCUCAGUAUAAAACCAUUUCCAUGUGGUUUUCACUUGUGAGCUCUGAAAGCUCCAUGAUGUCACCUUUGCGUUUUCGGAAAGUCAAACACCAUAAGCCUGUGCCUGGGAUUUGCUGGUAAUGUGCAACGUGCAAGGAGAGCCGUCCUGAACUGCAGCCUCUCUUUUACACAGCAAACCUGCUCUGCCAGCUUUGGGCCGAGUGAAUUCUCUGACCACUUAAAAUGCAAAUGAAACAAUCGAGGCACAACAGUGACAGCAGGGAUCCGGGAAUUCCUGCAUGUCCCACGUCGCUCCAGUCUGACAUAUGCAUCUAGACUUCUUGCACAUGGUAUCCUGAUGGAAAGGAGGCGGACCGUUCACUGUACUGAGCUUUUUUGAAUGCAUACUGCGCUGAAGUUUUCACAGCUGUGAGUUCAAGUGGAGAGAUGACAUGUUUCACCCGCUAAAAGGAACAAUUGGACGGAGAGGGAUGCAGGACUGAUUUCUGGUACCAGAAGGUGGGAAAGAGAGAGAAGGAAUUGCUGCUCAGUACUGAGCUGCAUGUCACAGUGGAGAAGAUUACUAUCUAGAGGCUCUCUGCACUGUGUUGUAUUAACACUGCUAUCAGUGUUACUCUGAACAGGAAAACAUAGUUUGGAGGUUUACACAGAGACACUAGCAGCUGGAUUUUGAAAGAUCCACAGUGCCCACGUUUUAUCAAAUUUUCUGAAGCUCACUCUGAACUUUGCACCAAGUUUAGACAUACUUAGCAUCUUGUAAACUGUAAAAGCAGUGCUGUAAAUGUAAUCAAUUUAGACUAUAAGAAAAUAUCCUGCAAAUGAGAUACUCUAUUCUAUCUCAGAGGUAUCACUACCUCUAACGUCUUUCAGUCUCAAUGCAUAUUUGCUUUUGAAACCACUAUAUGUGAGUUGCACUGCAAGCUUAAUGUGCCUGGUUGUAACCUGAAAGUUUGUCCAGAAAUGCAUAAACUAGAAUCCACCCACAUGCAUUACCAGUUACAAACAGGGGAAUGUCAUCAAUCAUUAGCAAUAGUGGAGGAAACAGUAUACUAAUAGGGUGAUGAAGGGUUCAAUUCAGACAGGUUGCUUUGACCUCAUACUUUGCUUGACAAAUUUCUGCUUUCUUAGUGUAGAGUUAGUCUACUUCAGCUAAUUAACCUCAAAUAGACAAAUCAACAAUAGUCCAUUUCUGUAGUUGCCUUGAACUGCUGUUGAUUUCAGUUGCUGUGGCGCAACUCCAUUAAGCCUGUUGGCCAAGACAUGAAACUUAUGAAACCAAGACUCAGAAUGAAAAAAAAAGAGCCAGUGACACAGCAAAUGGGAGGAAAAGAAAGGCAGAGGCAGAGAACGAUGAGACAGAGGGGGUGAAGCACAGAAGGAAUGGCUGCGAGAAACGAGAGGAGGCAGAGGAGACUGAAACAGAGUCUCUAACAAGGAGAAAAGUGAGAAAGAAACAGAAAAAACACAAGAAAGUCAGCAGGGCUUACGCGCUCUGUCCCCAGUGUUUUCACCAUCACACAGACAAAUUUCACUAGGUCAGCCCUUCACUUUAUAAGCAUCUACCCGUCUUGCCACAGUGUUUCCCAGUUUAAUUCAACACCACAGAGAGGCGAUAUGGCCUCAGUCUCAGCGAACCCAGCCACAGGGGCGCUCUGCAAGGACACUGCUACAUUACAGUUCCUCCAUUGGCUGGGCUUCUGGGAUGCGGCAGCGAUGAAAAUAAUGCCGAACAGAUCGUGCCUGGAUGACUACUUCAGGCAUGCUGAGGCUGCACUAUCCCCUUCGGCCCACUUGAAACAAUGGGUCUGAUAACGACCUAACACUGCAGCCAGAGCAACAGGAACAGCUGACACUUUCUAGGGUCUGACAAUUGGGUUUCUUUGCUAUGCACUACGGUCAGGUUGUGGUCAGUUUCAGUGACUUUUUGGUUAAUGUCAUCUUGGUCCAGCCUUUUUACGACUACACCAGAUUUUAAUAAAUAUUUUACUUCGCUGGCUGUGCCACAUAUACCAGCAGUCCAGCAUAUCCCAGUAGGAUAAAUCAUGGUGAUCGCAACUUAUUCAUUGGUCUUUUUUAUGUCAACUAAAAAAUGAAACAGUUCUGCAUACAGGCCCUGUGAAUGUAACUAGGUCCUAGAUGGAAACUUGAAGAAAUACAGAAGGCUUUUUUUUACAUACACUGUAAAAACUGGUUGACCAGGAUAACCUGGUAGCUGCAAUGCAAAGUUUGAAAGCAGGCAGCACGUGUAGAAACCUGGAAAGCAGUCUUACAUAAGCACUGAAUGAAAAAUGUGAACUUUUAAAAUAUUAGUUAAAUGUCAGUCAACAUUUAACAAACAGUAUAGUAAAACAAAUAUAAAUAUUAAUAAGGUUUCAAAGCACAAACUGCAAAUGCAUGGAGAUGAGGUUAGUUCCCUUAAAAGGACUUCCUGUUUCCUGUUUCUAACCCAGCUCUUCGUCCAACUCACAAAUUAUGUUGGAUUUUCUCGCCCAUGUUUAGGAAUUUAUUUCCUUGACACUCUUGUCUUGCAAAUGGUUUCAGAUACACAGCUGAUAGGAAUUUGCAUGGGACUUGGUGAAAACAUUACAAAUUAAGCGUAAAUACAAACAUUAAAUGGUGGUACUGCGCCAGCAGAUCCUGAAUUUAAAGCUGACCUUUUAAUACCCAGUCAGACAAUGAAAGGAAGUAAUAAAAAGCAGAUUGCUGGGGUGUGCAAAAGAGUUUAAAUUCAAGUGUGAAAAAAAUGAAAACUGUUGCUUUCCUAUGACCUCAUCCAAAGUACUGCACCCAGACUUUUCCACCCUCUCACCAGUCAGAGAAUGAGAAAACAUAAAGCAUUUGCAAUGAUACUCAGACUGAAGGGAAUAUGACACACAGACAACAUGAAAGAACUGAAUCACUUUAUCUGUGAACAAAGGCCACUUUGGGGAGAUCUGUUAUUUAAAAUCCUGAAAGAACUGAGAAAAAUCAACCCAAAGGAGUACUUCAGACUCAGAAACACAAAGGACAGAGGACAAAAAUUGAAAUUAAGCGAUAACAGAUUAGAAAUGAAAGAAUAAGAAGCAUUUAUUUACAAGGAACAGACUACCAAAACACAUUGAAGACAGUGAUUCAUUGAUUGAAAGGAGCUUGGAAAAGAACUCUGAAAUGAAACUAAUAACAGCUGGAUGAGCAUGACGCCAAGAAAGGUGUCCUUUCACAUUUCACCUCAGUGGGCCCAUGUGACAGUUUACCUUGGUAAAUAUGCAUGAUGAUUUUGCAAAUUGAUCAUUUUUUUACUGGGCUCACAACAUGCAUUGAUUUUCCUAAUCAUACCUUAGAUUAUUCCACAGUGAUUUUACUGGGGUUUACUACACCUUUCGAAUCUUUUAUUUAUCCAGAAAUGCCCAUUUUGAACAACUUCACAUUUACAAGGAUGGCCAGGAGAUCGCCCAUUUGCCCAGCAGAGCAUUUAUUGGAGCGAUCAGAGCAAAGCAUCGUGCUCAAGGGCACAACAACAGCUUCUCACCUGGGAUUUGCACCAACUCCACACUGCCAGCCGAAACAUAACCAUGUGUUUUUCUAAGUGGGGUUUCUCCUUUUAGCCUCAGCCAUCAACAAUUUCAAGAGAUUGCCCUGAGAACAUUUCAUUUUUCAGUUGGACGGUUUUUGCAGAACAGAAAACUGAAUAAAGCUUAAAAAAAAGCACACAAAACUAUAAUGCUGAAAGUGGUAAACAAGCCACCGUCUCAUUGUAAUUAUGCGUGCAAGCAUGUCUGCCUCACAAUAAAAUAAAAAUAAAUAUCUUUGUUUUCCA
Lepisosteus oculatus (spotted gar) is the source of this 4131-nucleotide non-coding RNA. The record is from RefSeq and is a predicted model, not a curated record. Lineage: Eukaryota; Metazoa; Chordata; Actinopteri; Semionotiformes; Lepisosteidae.